UUUUUCAGGGCAGGGUGCAAUUCCCUACUGGCGGUAAAGUCCGCGACCACCUAACGGUGCCGACCCGGUGCAACUCCGAGACCAACAGUACAGUCUGGAUGAAAGAAAA
RNAcentral lists this non-coding RNA (109 nucleotides) under human gut metagenome. RNAcentral describes it as "FMN riboswitch (RFN element)". It matches the Rfam family "FMN riboswitch aptamer (RFN element)". From Rfam's summary of the family: The RFN element is a highly conserved domain that is found frequently in the 5'-untranslated regions of prokaryotic mRNAs that encode for flavin mononucleotide (FMN) biosynthesis and transport proteins. This element is a metabolite-dependent riboswitch that directly binds FMN in the absence of proteins. In Bacillus subtilis, the riboswitch most likely controls gene expression by causing premature transcription termination within the 5' untranslated region of the ribDEAHT operon and precluding access to the ribosome-binding site of ypaA mRNA. RNAcentral also lists the same sequence under 1 other name. The record is from RNAcentral.